UAGUAAUAGAUAUAGGCUUGAAACUUAAAGAAUUUGGCGGUAUUUUAAUCUUUUCAGAGGAACCUGUUCUAUAAUCGAUAUUCCACGUUAAAUUUUACUAAAUUAUUUAUAUAUCGUUGUCGAAAGAAUAAAUUUUCUAAUAUUUUAAAGAAAAUAGAUGUCAAAUCAAGGUGUAGUUGAUAAUUUAGUAGAAAUGGGUUACAAUAAAUUUAUUUAGAAAAAUUUAGAAGGAGGAUUUGAAAGUAAAUUAAUUUUAAUAAAU
RNAcentral lists this ribosomal RNA (262 nucleotides) under Ceratophyllus gallinae (common hen flea). RNAcentral describes it as "partial 12S ribosomal RNA". Lineage: Eukaryota; Metazoa; Arthropoda; Insecta; Siphonaptera; Ceratophyllidae. The record is from RNAcentral.